AGUACGAAGUUAACAUCGGACUUUUAAUCCGCGGGUCGUGGGUUCGAGCCCCACGGGGCCCA
Molecule: transfer RNA, 62 nt
Rfam family: tRNA
About the family: Transfer RNA (tRNA) molecules are approximately 80 nucleotides in length. Their secondary structure includes four short double-helical elements and three loops (D, anti-codon, and T loops).